CCUACGGGAGACAGCAGUGGGGAAUAUUGGGCAAUGGAGGAAACUCUGACCCAGCAACGCCGCGUGAAUGAUGAAGGUCUUCGGAUUGUAAAGUUCUUUUCUAAGGGAAGAAGAAAGUGACGGUACCUUAGGAAUAAGCCUCGGCUAACUACGUGCCAGCAGCCGCGGUAAUACGUAGGAGGCAAGCGUUAUCCGGAUUGACUGGGCGUAAAGGGUGCGUAGGUGGUUCAGCAAGUUAGUAGCGUAAUUCCGGGGCUCAACUUCGGCACUACUACUAAAACUGUUGGACUUGAGUGCAGGAGGGGCAAGUGGAAUUUCUAGUGUAGCGGUGGAAUGCGUAGAUAUUAGGAAGAACACCGGUGGCGAAGGCGAGUUGCUGGACUGUAACUGACACUGAGGCACGAAAGCGUGGGGAGCAAACAGGAUUAGAUACCCUUGUAGUC
Molecule: ribosomal RNA, 443 nt
Filed under: uncultured bacterium
Lineage: Bacteria
Description: partial 16S ribosomal RNA
Rfam family: Bacterial small subunit ribosomal RNA
Source: RNAcentral